AGUUCAACCCCCACUAGGUCCUCCCCUGCCAUCACAUUCCAGGACCUGAACCCUCCCCCCCACCCCAGAUUCUUUACUUUGGAGCCAUACACCGACUCCAGUCCAUGUUCUGCUUAGCGGUUUCCCUUCUGAUCUUGGUUUUCAACUUCUGCCUAUAAGUGAGUUCAUCCUGUAUUCAUCCUUUUGUUUCUGACUUAUCAGCAAUGAGUAUUUUUAAGUGCAGAGGAAAAGCCAAGAGGCUGUCGAGUGGAGCUGUGUUUUAAGGACCGAGUCUGUCUCUCCCCAACCAGAGGCCACAAACAAAUGACUGUUUGAACAUACAUCUUCAAACGUAAGAUAUUAUUUAAACUGCUACAAAGAGAUCACAUGUUUCCGGAACUCUCCCCCUUGCAGACACCAAUGCUCAGUCUGGGAGCAGCUCUGGCUAGUCAAAUGAAAGCAAGGCCUUCCAACGACACCUCAGAAAUGCUUGGGCCAUUUCAGAGUCUGGAUUCUUUGUUUAUCGGGAUAUUGGGACUUCCUCCGACUAGACUCCAGAAAAUAAAUUCUGGAUUAAGAGGUUCAAGGUCAACGUUAGCCUGGAAACCUUACCCUGGCUCAAGAUUUGCUUAAUCAGCUGUAAUUUCCCCACGGCACAGAUUCAAUCUGCUGAGCAAAUAAAACCCAUUUCGGCAGUGA
This is a long non-coding RNA of Erinaceus europaeus (western European hedgehog), 678 nucleotides long. RefSeq lists it as uncharacterized. The record is from RefSeq and is a predicted model, not a curated record. The transcript is spliced from 2 exons. Lineage: Eukaryota; Metazoa; Chordata; Mammalia; Eulipotyphla; Erinaceidae.